GGGGAGUGGCAGACGGGUGAGUAACGCGUGGGAACAUACCCUUUCCUGCGGAAUAGCUCCGGGAAACUGGAAUUAAUACCGCAUACGCCCUACGGGGGAAAGAUUUAUCGGGGAAGGAUUGGCCCGCGUUGGAUUAGCUAGUUGGUGGGGUAAAGGCCUACCAAGGCGACGAUCCAUAGCUGGUCUGAGAGGAUGAUCAGCCACAUUGGGACUGAGACACGGCCCAAACUCCUACGGGAGGCAGCAGUGGGGAAUAUUGGACAAUGGGCGCAAGCCUGAUCCAGCCAUGCCGCGUGAGUGAUGAAGGCCUUAGGGUUGUAAAGCUCUUUCACCGAUGAAGAUAAUGACGGUAGUCGGAGAAGAAGCCCCGGCUAACUUCGUGCCAGCAGCCGCGGUAAUACGAAGGGGGCUAGCGUUGUUCGGAAUUACUGGGCGUAAAGCGCACGUAGGCGGAUAUUUAAGUCAGGGGUGAAAUCCCGCAGCUCAACUGCGGAACUGCCUUUGAUACUGGGUAUCUUGAGUAUGGAAGAGGUAAGUGGAAUUCCGAGUGUAGAGGUGAAAUUCGUAGAUAUUCGGAGGAACACCAGUGGCGAAGGCGGCUUACUGGUCCAUUACUGACGCUGA
This 624-nucleotide ribosomal RNA is filed under the name Rhizobium sp. RNAcentral's name for it is "bacterial SSU rRNA". It matches the Rfam family "Bacterial small subunit ribosomal RNA", at positions 90 to 749 of the family's 1533-position model. The record is from RNAcentral. Lineage: Bacteria; Pseudomonadati; Pseudomonadota; Alphaproteobacteria; Hyphomicrobiales; Rhizobiaceae.